This 544-nucleotide ribosomal RNA is filed under the name uncultured Glomeromycotina. RNAcentral describes it as "SSU rRNA". It matches the Rfam family "Eukaryotic small subunit ribosomal RNA", at positions 548 to 1098 of the family's 1831-position model. The record is from RNAcentral. Lineage: Eukaryota; Fungi; Glomeromycota.
UUGGAGGGCAAGUCUGGUGCCAGCAGCCGCGGUAAUUCCAGCUCCAAUAGCGUAUAUUAAAGUUGUUGCAGUUAAAAAGCUCGUAGUUGAAUUUCGGGGUUCUACCGUUGGUCGGGCUUUGUCUGUACUGGUGUGUAGAAUUUCUACCUUCUGGGGAACCAUCAUGCUAUUAAUUUAGCGUGGUGGGAAACCAGGACCUUUACCUUGAAAAAAUUAGUGUGUUCAAAGCAGGCUUAUGUCUGAAUACAUUAGCGUGGAAUAAUAGAAUAGGACGGUGGUCCUGUUUUGUUGGUUUCUGAAUCACCGUAAUGAUUAAUAGGGAUAGUUGGGGGCAUUAGUAUUCAAUUGUCAGAGGUGAGAUUCUUGGAUUUAUUGAAGACUAACUUCUGCGAAAGCAUUUGCCAAGGAUGUUUUCAUUAAUCAAGAACGAAAGUUAGGGGAUCGAAGACGAUCAGAUACCGUCGUAGUCUUAACCAUAAACUAUGCCGACUAGGGAUCGGACGAUGUUAAUUUUUCUUGACUCGUUCGGCGCCUUACGGGAAAC